GCCUGGGUGGCUCAGUCGGUUGAGCGUCUGACUUCAGCUCAGGUGACGAUCUCACAGUCUGGGAGUUCGAGCCCCGCGUCAGGCU
This 85-nucleotide transfer RNA is filed under the name Felis catus (domestic cat). It matches the Rfam family "tRNA". From Rfam's summary of the family: Transfer RNA (tRNA) molecules are approximately 80 nucleotides in length. The record is from Rfam by way of RNAcentral. Lineage: Eukaryota; Metazoa; Chordata; Mammalia; Carnivora; Felidae.